This 1366-nucleotide ribosomal RNA is filed under the name Curtobacterium sp. RNAcentral describes it as "bacterial SSU rRNA". It matches the Rfam family "Bacterial small subunit ribosomal RNA", at positions 70 to 1441 of the family's 1533-position model. The record is from RNAcentral. Lineage: Bacteria; Bacillati; Actinomycetota; Actinomycetes; Micrococcales; Microbacteriaceae.
GAUGCCCAGCUUGCUGGGUGGAUUAGUGGCGAACGGGUGAGUAACACGUGAGUAACCUGCCCCUGACUCUGGGAUAAGCGUUGGAAACGACGUCUAAUACUGGAUAUGACUGCCGGCCGCAUGGUCUGGUGGUGGAAAGAUUUUUUGGUUGGGGAUGGACUCGCGGCCUAUCAGCUUGUUGGUGAGGUAAUGGCUCACCAAGGCGACGACGGGUAGCCGGCCUGAGAGGGUGACCGGCCACACUGGGACUGAGACACGGCCCAGACUCCUACGGGAGGCAGCAGUGGGGAAUAUUGCACAAUGGGCGAAAGCCUGAUGCAGCAACGCCGCGUGAGGGAUGACGGCCUUCGGGUUGUAAACCUCUUUUAGUAGGGAAGAAGGGANCUUGNUCUUGACNGUACCUGCAGAAAAAGCACCGGCUAANUACGUGCCAGCAGCCGCGGUAAUACGUAGGGUGCNAGCGUUGUCCGGAAUUAUUGGGCGUAAAGAGCUCGUAKGCGGUUUGUCGCGUCUGCUGUGAAAUCCCGAGGCUCAACCUCGGGCUUGCAGUGGGUACRGGCAGACUAGAGUGCGGUARGGGAGAUUGGAAUUCCUGGUGUAGCGKUGGAAUGCGCAGAUAUCAGGAGGAACACCGAUGGCGAAGGCAGAUCUCUGGGCCGUAACUGACGCUGAGGAGCGNAAAGCAUGGGGAGCGAACAGGAUUAGAUACCCUGGUAGUCCAUGCCGUAAACGUUGGGCGCUAGAUGUAGGGACCUUUCCACGGUUUCUGUGUCGUAGCUAACGCAUUAAGCGCCCCGCCUGGGGAGUACGGCCGCAAGGCUAAAACUCAAAGGAAUUGACGGGGGCCCGCACAAGCGGCGGAGCAUGCGGAUUAAUUCGAUGCAACGCGAAGAACCUUACCAAGGCUUGACAUACACCGGAAACGGCCAGAGAUGGUCGCCCCCUUGUGGUCGGUGUACAGGUGGUGCAUGGUUGUCGUCAGCUCGUGUCGUGAGAUGUUGGGUUAAGUCCCGCAACGAGCGCAACCCUCGUUCUAUGUUGCCAGCGCGUUAUGGCGGGGACUCAUAGGAGACUGCCGGGGUCAACUCGGAGGAAGGUGGGGAUGACGUCAAAUCAUCAUGCCCCUUAUGUCUUGGGCUUCACGCAUGCUACAAUGGCCGGUACAAAGGGCUGCGAUACCGUAAGGUGGAGCGAAUCCCAAAAAGCCGGUCUCAGUUCGGAUUGAGGUCUGCAACUCGACCUCAUGAAGUCGGAGUCGCUAGUAAUCGCAGAUCAGCAACGCUGCGGUGAAUACGUUCCCGGGCCUUGUACACACCGCCCGUCAAGUCAUGAAAGUCGGUAACACCCGAAGCCGGUGGCCUAACCC